This 6480-nucleotide long non-coding RNA is filed under the name Sus scrofa (pig). RNAcentral describes it as "lncRNA (ENSSSCG00035035790.1)". Lineage: Eukaryota; Metazoa; Chordata; Mammalia; Artiodactyla; Suidae. The record is from RNAcentral.
GCCGCCUCUUUGUCUGCUCCGGGACUUGGAACAAAAGGGGGAACUCUGAUGAACUCUCUCCUCCCCUCUUCCCCGGACGCCCGGGUAUCUCCCUCUCGCAACUUUGCCGCCGCGACUUUCUCCGCUGUCAGGCCACACAAAAGUGUCCGAGCGCCUCGCGGACAGCAACGAGGGAAAGGUCUCCAAAAAGUGCGACCAAGUGGGGAAGAAGGCGUGAUUACCACUGUCAGCGUCUAGAACGCAUCAUGAGUACGCUGAGUUCCUCUGUACUGCAUUGUUCUUAAGGAUCAGUGAUCUUUAUGGACGUACAAUACAACAUCGAGUCAUUCCUGGAUGAAAAGUUAUCAAACUUCGUCCUUUGGAGUUGCUUAAAAGUUAAGAUGUUGGAAUUUUUGAUAAUGCCUUCCCUAUGUGGAUUACUACAAUUUGAUCCCUGGGAAUUCUCCACCUUAAAGAAGACUAUUUUGCUAUCUGGAAACCCAUGCCCAUGUCUCUGACUGUGAAUCAGAAUUGCUUUCUUCAUAGUCUGACUGGGAGAAUUUUUAAACAUUGGAAUGUCCUUCUGAGGUGGGCUAUGGAAUGUCAUUACUCUCAGGGGACUACAGAAGCGUCCGCACCGUGCAUGUUCAGAAAUGCUGUGAGGACAGAAAUAUUAUGUUCUUAUAAAGGAGAAAGCAGAAGCUCAGAUUUCAAGGACUUGGGCCCAAACGGCGUUCAACUGGAAAGCUGGUCAUCCCUGAGGUCAUCGCUGAGCAUCCUUAACUGCCCCUGAUCUGUGGAUAGCUGCUCUGUUGUCCAUUUCAUUAGAUGCCCUUAAAACUAACAGAAAAGGGAAACAGCUGACGGCACGUAACACUGCAGUGCUGAUCUUGGGGGACCUGUAGAGAACAACAUCAAGUGCAGGAGUGCCACGUUCCCAGGAGAUGUGCCAUCUGACUGUAAGUUGCAGAUGUAUGCCUAGCUCGACUGCUUGAGAAAGUUGCCCAGUUUUACAGCCAUUGAUUUAUCUGUAUGUAUGUGGCGUCCUAAAUAUGGCUAUAUUAAUUAUUUUAAAGUUUCCUCUAAAAGUCUGCCUCAUGGCUUGAAUGGAGAUGUGGUCAUUUGUGCUAAUUGCAUUUUAGAGUCUCUUAUGUAUUGGUGACAAUAAGCUAAUGUUUACAACUUUUGUUCACAUCAGGUACCAUUAGGCGCUUAAUUAUGUGACAUUGUGCUGCCUAGCUGUACUUUGCAAAUACCAAAAAGCAUCACUCUCUCCCCCCCAGUGCUGUGCAUGUCUGGGCCACCCUGACGUGGCAUAGUUGCAGCUUCUUAUCAAGAUCACAGGUGUGCCCCCAUGACCCUUGCUACCUAACCCCAGGAUCUUAGCUUGAGCAUGCUCUGCCUGACUCCCAGGGGGUGAUUUGAAACAGAGAUAGUGUUGCAGUGGGAGCUUUGCCAUGAGGCUUCUGAGAAUGAGGCAAAUCAGGAGCAGUGUGACCUGUUCAUGUCCAGGUUCCCAGACAGCUUGGGACAGUUUACCUUUUGAAAAGAGAAGCCUUCAGGAGAAAAAAAAAGCUAAUGACCUAUAAGCAGAGAGUCUCAGAGCCUGGACACUCAGACGUCCCCUUGCUUUGCAGAGGAUGAUGCUGAGUCCCGAACAAGGAAGGGAGGCACACAAAGAAAGGCUACCCCAAAGCUGGGCUCUGAGUUCAAGAAAAACCAAGCCCUCCUUUCCAAUCUUUCUUCUUAGCCUUUUGAUCUAAGGAAAAAAUUGCAUAGUCUAAUAUGCAGUAUCUUUCCAUACUUGGAAAGAUUAAUCUGUCAGAUUAAUGUUAGGAGGGGUGGAGGCGUCUUAGAAUCUCAUCGUGGGGUGAGUUUUACUGUGACGCAGGAUCUCCCAAUGAGCUGGUGUUCUGUCAGGACCGAAUUGCCAUCGCUCCUUCCCUUCUAACUAAGAAUGUGAACAGCCCCAUCGUGCGGGCUGCUGAUUGACAUCAAGUAACUCUGUAGUCAUGGCUCUAGCUAAAAAUGUGAAAGAAACUAGGUCUUUUCAACCCAAAGGUUCUCUUCUGUACAGUUAAUUAAAGACAUUUUCAGAAGACAUUUGGAUUAUGGGAAAGCAAUGAUAGCACGUUAUGACAUUUAUUUCAUUCCUUACCCUAAGAAUCUCAGUAAUUGGUUCACCCAUUCAAAACCGUUAUGUUAUCUGAGGGUCAAGACUCCCGAACCCCCGUUGGAACUCACCUGAUUUAUCUAAUUGGCAUAUUCUUUGAAAAACAACUCUAGACACAGGAACUUUUUGAUUCCUGAAGGUACCAUUCACUUGUUUUAAGACAAUUUAAUGUAAAACGUAUCUAAUUUCAGUGACAAUCUUUAGGAAGCUUUAGCCAGGGGCUUCCAUUUUAUUUACACCAUGGUAUUAAAGAACAGAUUUUAGAAAUUUAAUUAAAAUUCCACACAAACUUUGGAAAUGCUGGGCAGCUCAACUUACCUAUUGUUGAGGUUGUCACUUUGCAGCUGAAGAAACUAAGGCUUGGAAAAAGAUGAUAGCUUAGCUCUGAUCGUACAACAAAUACAGAGAUAGUUAGUGGCAGGAUGACUUUCGGAAUGCAGAGCUUUUGACUUCCAGUCCACUGGUCUUCCUCCUGGGCAAGGCUAUUGUAUGCAGUUGGAGGUGUUUCAUUCUGUGCGGUGCAAUUGCGAUACAGGGGAAACAGAAGGUUGUAUUUGUUGCCUUCUAAGAACUCAUACCCUCAUGAGGAUUCUCUCUUUCCAUGGAAGAGCCGUUGUGUGUAUUUACAAAUACAUUGUUUCCCUUUGUGGUAGUGUAAUAUGUCUCCUUUUCUUUUUAUUUAUGUUUUUUUUUUUUUUUUUUAGUAUAACCAAUUUCUAUUUUUUAAAUAAGAAAACAUUUAAAAAAAUCCUGAAGAGUAUAAACUGGGCUGUAAUAUUUUCCCCACUAUUUUCUUUUUUUUUUUUUUUCAUUCUUAAUUUUUAUUUAUUUAUUUUUUUUAAUUUUUAUUAUUUUUUGCUUUUUAAAAAAAUUACUCAAAUGAAUUUAUCAUGUCUGUAGUUGUAUAAUGAUAAUAACAAUCUGAUUUCACAGGAUUUCCAUCCCACAGCCCAAGCACACCCCCUCACCCCUUAAACUGUCUCCUCUGGAGACCAUAAGUUUUUCAAUGUCUGUGAGUCAGCAUCUGUUCUGCAAAGAAGUUCCGUCUGUCUUUUUUUCAGAUUCCACAUGUCAGUGAAAGCAUUUGAUGUUGGUGUCUCAUUGUAUGGCUGACUUCACUUAGCAUGAUAAUUUCUAGGUCCAUCCAUGUUGCUAAAAAUGCCGGUAUUUUGUUCCUUUUAAUGGCUGAGUAAUAUUCCAUUGUGUAUAUGUACCACAUCUUCUUGAUCCACAUCUCUGUCCAUGGACAUUUAGGUUGUUUCCAUGUGUCGCUAUUGUAAAUAGUGCUACAAUGAACAUUGGGGUACAUGUGUCUUUGUGAGUCGUGGUUUUCUCUGGAUAGAUGCCCAGGAGUGGGAUUGCUGGAUCAAAUGGUAGUUCUCUGUGUAGUUUUCUGAUGAAUCUCCAUACUGCUCUCCUCAGUGGUUGCACCAAUUUACAAUCCCACCAACAGUGUAGUAGUGUUCCUUUUUCUCCACACCCUCUCCAGCACUUAUUGUUUGUAGACUUUUUGGUGAUGGCCAUUCUGGCUGGUAUAAGGUGGUACCUCAGAGUGGUUUUGAUUUGCAUUUCUCUAAUAAUGAGUGAUGUUGAACAUCUUUUCAUGUGUUUCUCAGCCAUCUGUAUAUCUUCUUUGGAGAACUGUCUGUUUAGAUCUUCUGCCCAUUUUUGGAUGGGGUUGUUUGUUUUUUUGGUAUGGAGCUGCAGAAUUUGUUUAUAAAUUUUGGAGAUUAGUCCCUUGUCCUUCGAUUCACUUGCAAAGAUUUUCUCCCAUUCUGUGUGUUGUCUUUUCGCCUUGUUUAGGGUUAUUUAUGUUUUAAAUGCCAUAGAAUCUUCCCAUCUCUCAACCAAAAACAAACCAGAAAUGGUUAUAUAAUUGCCUAAAGCCACUGUCCAGUGAUUUCGGAGGAACAUGUAUGAACAUAGGCCCAGGUGAACCCAGUGAGGUGCUGGUGUGAUGUGCCCACCAAGAAAGCAAAGGCAGAUGAGGCUGCACUGAUGGAGAUCUCGUCCCUGAGAAGGAAGCAGGUGAUAAUACUGUUUUCUCUGUGUGGCCACCUUGUGGGGCCUUGGGUUUACUGUACAUACCAUUCCAAGAGCUACUGAUAAAUUGGAAUGUAUUCAUAAGCUGGAAAAUGGGAUGCUGAGUGGUAGAGACGUCAGAAAGUAGUGGCUAGAGAAACUGCAGAUGUUGCUAAAGAAACUGCAGAUGUUUUGUGUAGAGAAGACCAUCAUCUAAGUAGGGGUUGGUAGAGUCCCUCUCAUGUUUGAGGGACUAUCAUGUGAGAAAGCAUGCUAGGCUAGAGCUGCCAAACCUCUAAAUUGAGGGCCAAUGCACAGAAGCUCCAGUGAGGUUCCUAUUACCAUGGAAUCCGACCUUUUGGCUCAGGGCUUGCAAAGAUGAAACAGCCCAUCUCCCUCCCAGGGCACUGCAUUUUCAGUCGCUGGAGGUGUUCCCUCCAGGCGUGGACGCUUGACUGGAGGAGGUAUUUUAAAGGGCAGCAUUCACAGUUCAGAUUUGCAGUUGGACCAGAUGACCUUUGAGGUGCUUUCCAGCACCUGGGGUUUUGUGAUUCUAUUUCUAUUAUGCUUCAGCGCUGGGUAUGUGUCACAUUGUUUGAACCAAACACUGGACAGGAGCACAGUUUGGAAUGUUGAUGGCGCUCACAUCUAUUUUGUGUUUCAAUUUCUGGAAGCGGUCUUUGUCUUAGAGGCAGUUUGGUCCCUGACCUUCUGUAACAUUUGGAGCCCAGCCACACUGUCUUUGUUUACUGUAAAGAGCAUGGAAAAACCGACUUCCUGACAGGGCUCUGCCGAGUCUAAGGUCAAACCACUCACAGGUGAACAAACACAGUCCUUCCACCUUAAAAUCGCCAUUUGGCCCCUGUAAAAUGGAUCAGGGUAAUAAUACUGGGUGAGAGAAAGAGGGGAAACCAGGGCUGUGCCAGCAGCCAGCCGUUCGUCACUUGUCACUUUGCUUUGUGAAGAGCUAAUCUUAAUUCGGUAUCCAUUUGGGGGAGGUUAGAAAACAUGGCAUGUGAUUGUAGGUCCUCUAGAGACCAAGUAAAUAAGCCUGUAGAUCCUUCCUUACACCGUACUCAUUGUCAUGUCCCUGGAUUGCAAAGACAAAGCAUGGCAUUCUUAUUCACAUAAGGGAUUUAAGAGUCACACGCAUUGACCAUGAGUAGCAUCCAGGCUUCUAUGACAAGACCUCCAAGUGUCCUAGAUAGGCUGAAUUCCUUUGAAGAAGGAAUAUCCACUUGUUCCUUGACUAGCCUCUGCUAGCCUUCACUGUCGUCAAAAGCAUUAGGUCCCCUUUGUCAAAAGGAGGGAAGUGUCUUCCUGGGUAAGGAUUAUCCUAAAGCUCUGUAUGAGCCUAGACAGUGCCUCAUUCCUUUUCUUCUCCUCUCAUCAUGCUUCUCUAUCAUCUUAUAUUAGAAGACCCCCCAACAUGUUUGUGUGUCCCUGAAUAAACAAUGACCUUGUUCCCCGUUGACUCAAAAUCACUGAUUUGCCAGAUCCAAGUUUCCUUCUUAAUAUUUAAAGAUAAAUUACUGGAAUUGAUCCAAAGCAAUAGAAAAAUAUUCCUGGCAUAAAUGAACAUUUCCCCCCUUUUUCCUUCAAGAAUAUAGGAAUACUUCUGUAUUUUUUUCCUUUUUUUCCCCCUUGGUGUCUAGUGUAAGUAGGCUCUCAAAAUGCCCUACUGAUCUAACAUUGGUUUUGAACUCUACUUAAAGAUGAUAUACUAGCCUUUUACUAAAAUAUAUCUGGGUAUUAAAUGCCUGGUUCUUUACUGCUGAUGAGAAAGAUUAUUAACACUUUUUUUCCCUAGCUGUAAUAUGAAGCAAUAACACCCGUUUUUACUUCCAGAGCCAGAGGCAGUAUGUCAUACUAACCUUCAUUAACUGCCUAAGAAAUGAGGUACAUUCGUUAAUUGAGUAUUCUGGUUAGCUAAGAUCGUAUGCAAAGGUUGAUAAACUUGUGUGGUUCCCUUGCUUUGCCACAUAGCAAGCAAAAAAAAAAAAAAAAAAAAAAAAAAAAAAAAAAAAAAAAAAAAAAAGAAUAAGAAUGGAGGUCUCGUCAGGGCUCAGCAGAAACGACUCUGACUAGCAUCCAUGAGGACACAGGUUGGAUCCACCACCUCACUCAGUGGGUUAAGGAUCCAGCAUUGCCGUGAGCUGUGGUGUAAAUUGCAGAUGCAGCUUGAUCUCACUUUGCUGUGGCUGUGAUGUAGGCUGGUGGCUACAGCUCCAAUUCGACCCCUAGCCAGGGAACCUCCAUAUGCUGCAGGUGUGGCCCUAAAACGACAAAAGAAAAAAAAAGAAAAA